This 227-nucleotide unclassified non-coding RNA is filed under the name Hevea brasiliensis (rubber tree). Lineage: Eukaryota; Viridiplantae; Streptophyta; Magnoliopsida; Malpighiales; Euphorbiaceae. The record is from RNAcentral.
AGUAAAGCAAGCAUCUUUGCUAUGGCUUUAGGGGUUUCGAGAAGCUUGUUGCCUGCACAGAGUAGUUAUUCUUUGUCUCAGGUCAAGAAAGCUUUUGAUUAGAACAGGGCAGUGUUUUCUCUUGAAUGGUUUCAUUUUCUUGGGAAGUAUUUUUGUCCUGAACUCAGUCGUCAUCCCAACAUUACAAUGGAUACUACCUGAUCAGUAUUCAGAUAUUAGUUCUCAAG